GGAAGGAUCAUUGAAUCUAAUCAAAUCCACACACGUGAACUAACCAUGUUGGCCAUCCGGGUCUCGCAUCUGGAUUGAGAUGGGUGUAGGUUGAAAAGCCUGUGCCUGCCUCAGUCGCUGCAUCCAUGGAAAUGGCUGCGGCGUCGGUCUUUGUCUAACCAACCAACACCAAACUUAACUUAUAAAUAAUAUCGAGGGAUCAGCUUAGAGCUGGCUCUCAUAAACCAAGACAACUCUCAACAACGGAUAUCUUGGCUCUCAGAUCGAUGAAGAACGCAGCGAAAUGCGAUACGUAGUGUGAAUUGCAGAAAUACGUGAAUCAUCGAAUCUUUGAACGCAAAUUGCGCUCGAGGCUUCGGCCAAGAGCAUGUCUGCCUCAGCGUCGGGUUAAUACUCAUAUGCGCAUUCCCCGCCAGGAGUGUGUGUAUGGAGCUGACUGUCUCGGUGUAUGCCCUCUUCCGGGAGGUGUGUGAGCCGGGUCAGUUGAAGUGCAGAUGUCAAAGCAUGGACCGUUAAUCGGGCCUCUACUGGGUAGGCAACUCGUUUGCUGAAAUGCUUUAGUAGAUGGCUUGGGUACUGUCUUUGGCACAAAACAGGAGUACCUGUUCAUUCAGGUACAACCAAUACCAUUUUCUCGACCUGAGCUCAGGCAAGAUU
RNAcentral lists this unclassified non-coding RNA (657 nucleotides) under Eudorina elegans. RNAcentral's name for it is "partial contains 18S rRNA, ITS1, 5.8S rRNA, ITS2 and 28S rRNA". The stretch from base 232 to 385 matches the Rfam family "5.8S ribosomal RNA". Lineage: Eukaryota; Viridiplantae; Chlorophyta; Chlorophyceae; Chlamydomonadales; Volvocaceae. The record is from RNAcentral.